AUUGAACGCUGGCGGCAGGCUUAACACAUGCAAGUCGAACGGUAGCAGGAGAAAGCUUGCUUUCUUGCUGACGAGUGGCGGACGGGUGAGUAAUGCUUGGGAAUCUGGCUUAUGGAGGGGGAUAACGACGGGAAACUGUCGCUAAUACCGCGUAGUAUCGGAAGAUGAAAGUGCGGGACCGCAAGGCCGCAUGCCAUAAGAUGAGCCCAAGUGGGAUUAGGUAGUUGGUGGGGUAAAGGCCUACCAAGCCUGCGAUCUCUAGCUGGUCUGAGAGGAUGGCCAGCCACACUGGAACUGAGACACGGUCCAGACUCCUACGGGAGGCAGCAGCGGGGAAUAUUGCGCAAUGGGGGGAACCCUGACGCAGCCAUGCCGCGUGAAUGAAGAAGGCCUUCGGGUUGUAAAGUUCUUUCGGUAUUGAGGAAGGAGUGUAUAUUAAUAGCAUACAUUAUUGACGUUAAAUACAGAAGAAGCACCGGCUAACUCCGUG
This 490-nucleotide ribosomal RNA is filed under the name uncultured bacterium. Its description in RNAcentral is "partial 16S ribosomal RNA". It matches the Rfam family "Bacterial small subunit ribosomal RNA", at positions 30 to 507 of the family's 1533-position model. The record is from RNAcentral.